GAGCCUCUUCAAAUGACAGCAAAUUGCUUCAGUCACCUGGGAUGUUCCUGAGGGAGCAGCGGAGGUGGAGGGAAGGUGAUGAGGUCACCCACCUCUUGUCCGGCAGUGACAGAGCCUGGCUCCUUCAGCAGGCACCCAGCUUCUGAUCCACACCUUUCUUCCUCUUCUCUGGUCCCUGCUGUCCCUAAACCUCAGGAUCCUCUUUCCCCCAGGGCUGAAAGGGCAAUUGGCUUGGAUAGGUCAGACACCCCCAAUCUUCCCCCCCUGGGGUUUUGGCACUGUGCACCCUGAAUUCAAAUCCUGACUCUGUCACACCAGUGCUGGGUGAUCCUGGGCAAAUUACUUAACCUGUCGGAGCCUCACUUUUCUCCACAAACCAUAAAUCAGCCUAAGGCCCACUCCGAUGAGAUACUGUGUGGCUAACAAACAGUAGGUGUUCCAUCAAUCCUGACAAGUAUUAUUAUCAUCCCUGAAAGGCUGAUGGGAGUAAAUUCCCCCCGAAGCUUCCCUUGCAGAUGGCCCCAUCUGUUCUAGGUGCUGAGGCGCCCUUCAGCCUCUCGGAGACCUGGAGGGGGGGCAAGGCCCCUUGGGACUCCCAGGCAGCUCUUCUCACUCCCCCCCCCCACCCGUGCAUGAAAUCACAGGCGCCCCAAUCUGUCUGCAUCCACUUCAUCUGCCAGCUCAGCAAAUGCAGAGACAAUUAAGGAGUUAAUUAGCAGGCAGAUGGGAAGGGGCUGGGGACCCAAGGCUGAGGGGACCCACCCACACACCUCUCCCCUACCCCUUGGGGGUGACCCCAGCUUGCCCUGGAGCACUGCACUUACCAACCUGGUUUCUUCCUUAUG
RNAcentral lists this long non-coding RNA (845 nucleotides) under Dasypus novemcinctus (nine-banded armadillo). RNAcentral's name for it is "lncRNA (ENSDNOG00000051634.1)". Lineage: Eukaryota; Metazoa; Chordata; Mammalia; Cingulata; Dasypodidae. The record is from RNAcentral.